UACGGAGGGUGCGAGCGUUGUCCGGAAUCAUUGGGCGUAAAGGGCGCGUAGGUGGCCCGGUCAGUCUUUGGUGAAAGCGCGGGGCUCAACCCUGCGUCGGCCAGGGAUACUGCCGCGGCUCGAGCACUGUAGAGGCAGGCGGAAUUCCGGGUGUAGCGGUGGAAUGCGUAGAGAUCCGGAAGAACACCGGUGGCGAAGGCGGUCUGCUGGGCAGUAGCUGACACUGAGGCGCGACAGCGUGGGGAGCAAACAGG
RNAcentral lists this ribosomal RNA (254 nucleotides) under uncultured bacterium. Its description in RNAcentral is "partial 16S ribosomal RNA". It matches the Rfam family "Bacterial small subunit ribosomal RNA", at positions 524 to 776 of the family's 1533-position model. The record is from RNAcentral.